This 327-nucleotide unclassified non-coding RNA is filed under the name Hevea brasiliensis (rubber tree). Lineage: Eukaryota; Viridiplantae; Streptophyta; Magnoliopsida; Malpighiales; Euphorbiaceae. The record is from RNAcentral.
GAAGAUGACGAGAAACAGAUGAAGUUGAUUAAAUAUUUUGGAACACUAAACAGUCAUGACCAUGAAAGACCCAUUGGAAAAUAAAAGACUUGUGUGGGAUAUAACAAAUCAGCCUUUUCAGAUCAGUGGCAGGUUAUUUUUGGAGAGACGAUGCUUCUGUUAAGUGUUGAUUUCCACACACCAACUUCUUACUCACAUCCGUUGUGCCAUUAGCCCACAGUGGGUCCAAGCAGAAGUGAUUCAAGAUUCAAGGGUUUAUUGUCAUAUGCACAACAAUUACAUUCAGCAGUUGCUGGCAAUGAAAUGCUCCCCUCUAGCCUUGCUCAG